RNAcentral lists this long non-coding RNA (1579 nucleotides) under Malus domestica (apple). RNAcentral describes it as "long non-coding RNA (MDOM_LNC012131)". Lineage: Eukaryota; Viridiplantae; Streptophyta; Magnoliopsida; Rosales; Rosaceae. The record is from RNAcentral.
CUAAUCUCUUUGCCGAUUUUUCUUCUGAGUAUGGGUUAAUCGGGGCCGAUGGCCACCGUGGAGCGCCUAGGCGGCGGCCUAGGCCGAUUUUUAGAACACUAGUUUUUCUCCAGAAGAAGUUGAACGUCCUACAUUAAAAAUAUAAAGCAAAGUAUUAAAAUUCUACCAAAAUAAUUACCAAAUUAUACUAAGAAUAGGGUAAAAUAUAUGAUAUAAUAUUGACUCAUCAAAAUACCCCCAAAAUUAGUUUUUUUGCUUGUCCUCAAGCAAAACAAAACUCAAAAACAAAUUAAAAACUUUAUUAAAAUUCAACUAAAACAAAAUUUCACCUUCAAGUUGCAAUCCAUAGAAAACAUUAAAAAUUAGAACAUCCUUCCAAAAGCUUCAACUAAUCCCACCACAGAGUCUAAGCCGUUUAGAAUCAAUUAGAAAACAAUUCAUGAACUUCCUUUGGUGUAAAGUGAACCAACAUAAUUAAGGAGACUCGCCUAAAAUAUUACAUUUUUUUUUCUCUUUUUUGAAUUUUCUUCUUUUUUUUUGUUUUUUUUGUUUUUUUUUUUUUUUAGUAACAGUGGUGGUCGUGCAAUGCCAAUUCUCUUAAGCUUUCAAUUCAACCCAUGUAACGAGCUUUAGGUCAAUGACUGCCAAACCACAAAGGCUUUAGGGCACUAGGUGUAGAACACCCCUAAGGACUUACUAACUCGAGCUGAAAAGGCUACGGAACCAACUAACCACCUUGUCCCAUGCCAAGACUCUACUGUUUGACACGAGAAUCACUGUUGAUUAGGCAGGACUGGCCCGGUUACUAGGCAAAGUCUUUGGUGGAACAAUUAUUACUUUAUUUAUAACACAUACUCAACUUUACUUAAAACAAAAAUUAAAAAUAAACUUAGACUAAAAGUAAGUGUUUCAAUCUCACUGCCCACAAACCAUGUUGAUGUGAAUGUGCAAAUUUGCAAAGUAUAACUCAUGAAUUAGUGUCUAAGCAACGAUAAAUAGAAAAGACUCUAUUAUGGGAUUAACCUUCACCAUGUCCAUUUGUUCUAACAUUUAAAUUAAUCUAUGGAUAUUAACUUAUAAAGAAUGAUUUUUUUUUUUAACCCAAAAAUGAAAAUUUUAAAAUUUCUUAUUUCCCACCCCCAAACUUAAAUCACAUUGUCCUCAAAGUGUGGAAAAAUAAAGAAAUGAAAAGAAACAAAAAUAAUAAGUCCUAAAAUAAAAAUGUAAAACAACUAACAAAGAUAAAGAAAAUAAACUAGGAAAAGAAAAUAGAAAACAAUAAAAGAAAUAAAAUAACAAAUAAAACAGAAAACAAGAGAAAAGAAAAGGAAACUAACACACCUGGGAUUCGAACCUGAGACCUAGAAGAGCAACCAGGAAGCAUCGUAAAAAUUGGAAAAAAGUAUGAGAAGAGGUGCUGAGCUUUACACAGCAUACACGGAACCACACGUGUGAAUAAACCCAGAUGCUUCAUUAUGUAAACAUUUUAGCAGCCCAUGCUCCUUCAUUUCCCAUUUCUGCCAUUGAGCUCUUCUCCCCUCUUCUCUCUAGCCUCGAGCCUAUUAAGCAUAGUGAAGAA